RNAcentral lists this ribosomal RNA (464 nucleotides) under uncultured Planctomycetota bacterium. RNAcentral describes it as "bacterial SSU rRNA". It matches the Rfam family "Bacterial small subunit ribosomal RNA", at positions 365 to 819 of the family's 1533-position model. The record is from RNAcentral. Lineage: Bacteria; Pseudomonadati; Planctomycetota.
UUCGCAAUGCCCGAAAGGGUGACGAAGCGACGCCGCGUGGGUGAAGAAGGCCUUCGGGUUGUAAAACCCUGUCAGGAGUUAAGAAAUGUAGGUUCGAAAAUAUUGGGCCUAUUUGACAAAAACUCCAAAGGAAGCCACGGCUAACUCUGUGCCAGCAGCCGCGGUAAUACAGAGGUGGCGAGCGUUGUUCGGAAUUAUUGGGCGUAAAGAGCACGUAGGUGGAUUUGUAAGUCAGAUGUGAAAGCCUUCUGUUCAACGGAAGAAUUGCAUCUGAAACUACAAACCUUGAGUAUAGGAGGGGAGAGUGGAACUUCUGGUGGAGCGGUGAAAUGCGUAGAUAUCAGAAGGAACACCGGCGGCGAAAGCGACUCUCUGGCCUAUUACUGACACUGAGUGUGCGAAAGCUAGGGGAGCAAACGGGAUUAGAUACCCCGGUAGUCCUAGCCGUAAACGAUGGGCACUAA